UGGGCCCUUAACAGCUUGCUGUUUACUUUUAUACAAGGCUCUGUCUUGAAGGACGAAUAAUUGACCAAAAUUCGUAACUUUUUUAAAGAGGCAGAUCUGGAAAUUUUCACAAGAGGGGGGUCCACUUACUGUCAUGAGGGGUCACGCUUCAGUGAUUUGGUAUACAAUCAUCCAUUUUUUUUCCAGAAAAGGGCCCAAUUUUUAAAUCAGCCUCUGUUAUACAUUGUGACAUGUUUGCAGAGUUGUCUUCUUGGCAAUCAUAUCACAUUUGCUUAUUUAUAUGGACUAAUUAUAUACAUGCAUUUUUUUUUGAAAUUUCA
RNAcentral lists this long non-coding RNA (320 nucleotides) under Mytilus galloprovincialis (Mediterranean mussel). Lineage: Eukaryota; Metazoa; Mollusca; Bivalvia; Mytilida; Mytilidae. The record is from RNAcentral.